CACGUAGGGGGCAAGCGUUGUCCGGAUUUAUUGGGCGUAAAGAGCUCGUAGGCGGUUCGGCAAGUCGGGUGUGAAACCCCCAGGCUCAACCUGGGGACGCCACCCGAUACUGCUGUGACUUGAGUCCGGUAGGGGAGCGUGGAAUUCCUGGUGUAGCGGUGAAAUGCGCAGAUAUCAGGAGGAACACCAGCGGCGGAGGCGGCGCUCUGGGCCGGAACUGACGCUGAGGAGCGAAAGCGUGGGUAGCAAACAGG
This 254-nucleotide ribosomal RNA is filed under the name uncultured bacterium. RNAcentral describes it as "partial 16S ribosomal RNA". It matches the Rfam family "Bacterial small subunit ribosomal RNA", at positions 524 to 776 of the family's 1533-position model. The record is from RNAcentral.